CUCACCAAUGAUGAUUUGAAUACCGCCCCAGUCUGAAAGCUGUGAAGAAGGGUAUUUUCUGAGUUAUG
Small nucleolar RNA from Cricetulus griseus (Chinese hamster), 68 nucleotides. NCBI's taxonomy places the organism in Eukaryota, Metazoa, Chordata, Mammalia, Rodentia, Cricetidae. The record is from Ensembl.